UGGGUUGUGGCUCAGCGGUAGAGCACUCGCUUAGUACGUGUGAGGUCCUGGUUUUGAUCCUCAGCACCACAU
Non-coding RNA from Ictidomys tridecemlineatus (thirteen-lined ground squirrel), 72 nucleotides. Lineage: Eukaryota; Metazoa; Chordata; Mammalia; Rodentia; Sciuridae. The record is from Rfam.